UACAGAGACUGCAAGCGUUAUUCGGAUUCACUGGGCGUAAAGGGUGCGCAGGCGCCAGGUGUGUUAGGCGUGAAAGCCCGGGGCUUAACCCCGGAAUUGCACCUAAAACUACUUGGCUAGAGCAUUGGAGAGGGUAGCGGAAUUCACGGUGUAGCAGUGAAAUGCGUAGAUAUCGUGAGGAACACCAGAGGCGAAGGCGGCUACCUGGACAAUUGCUGACGCUCAGGCACGAAAGCGUGGGGAGCAAAAGGG
Molecule: ribosomal RNA, 252 nt
Filed under: uncultured bacterium
Lineage: Bacteria
Description: partial 16S ribosomal RNA
Rfam family: Bacterial small subunit ribosomal RNA
Source: RNAcentral